RNAcentral lists this ribosomal RNA (308 nucleotides) under uncultured bacterium. RNAcentral's name for it is "partial 16S ribosomal RNA". It matches the Rfam family "Bacterial small subunit ribosomal RNA", at positions 505 to 807 of the family's 1533-position model. The record is from RNAcentral.
GAGACAGCAGCCGCCGCGGUAAUACGAAGGGUGCAAGCGUUAAUCGGAAUUACUGGGCGUAAAGCGUGCGUAGGCGGUGAGUUAAGUCUGCUGUGAAAUCCCCGGGCUCAACCUGGGAAUGGCAGUGGAUACUGGCUCGCUAGAGUGUGUCAGAGGAUGGUGGAAUUCCCGGUGUAGCGGUGAAAUGCGUAGAGAUCGGGAGGAACAUCAGUGGCGAAGGCGGCCAUCUGGGACAACACUGACGCUGAGGCACGAAAGCGUGGGGAGCAAACAGGAUUAGAUACCCCUGUAGUCCCUGUCUCUUAUAC